AGCUAACUGAGUUAGUGCCUGGGCUGUUAUGGGUUCACUGGGCUGGUAUGCUGCAGGAAUCUUUGGAUCAAGAAGACAUCUGCAGUUGAUCAACCACAACACAGUUACUGAGGGAAUGCUUUGUUAUGAGCUAUAAGUGUAAUAUAACCAAAUUGUAAGCAUGCUUGAGAAGUUUUUUAAACUAGCAGUGAAUAUAAAUCAUAUUGUAUUUUGUAGCAGGCUGUGUUUCGAGACCAUGAAACGUUCAGUGUUACCACAGUGCAUGAUUAGUACUUUAUCAUGGUAGUAGUCUUUUGAUUUUUACAUGACAGGUUCAUGAGUUAUGUCCAAACCUUAGUUAAUGCCGGAAAGUUGACAUUGCUUUCUAUUCAUCUGUCCUAUUCAAGGUUCAGUUAAAUAGUGUGCAGAUUAUAUUUGAAUUAGCUGAUACCUGCAAGUAAAUAGUGGGUCAAACUUAAAUAUGUAUUUUGGUGAGCUAUGUUUGAAACCAGCCAGUGAGGUUGUUGGUGAAUGUUGAACACAGGGUGUCUCGAUGUCAAUGUUUUCUGUUGUUUUAUUACAUUAACAAUAUGUUCUGUUUAUUUGGCAAUUUGUAGAGAAUAUUUUCUCUGUUUUUCUAAGCCGUUUAUAACAGAACUCCUUUUGGGUUUCAAUGACUGUUCUUUGUACAAUCUAUUCUUUGAAAAUGUUCACACAAGGCUAAAAGAAUGGAAUAGGGGAAGAAAGCUAUUUCAAUAAACAACAUUAGUAUAUAUCUUAAUUUAGCAAAUUAAAUAAUGAACCUUAUUAUUGUGAUUAUACCAUAAAUAAUUGAUUGGUUUUAUGUAUUUAUUUAUAAUCCACCAAUUCUUACAAACAUAUUACCAAGCUUAUGACUAACAUUCAAACUGGCCUUUUAAAAUUAUUUCAAAGAUAAAACAUAAUUAAAGAACAACUAUAAUAUUGGCACAUACAUUGAUGAAUUGGAAAUACUAGGAAUGCAUUCAAACGAAGAACAUACUGAGUUGAUUUUCCAUCUUUCACACUUAUUUCUAAUGUACUUGUUCUGUUUAUAAGAUUGUUUAAUUGUAAGUGAAAAACAUUUUGUGGUUUUGUUUUUCAUUUAUGUAUCUGUUAGAAAUAUGUUAUUUUUCAUUGUAGAAAUGCACCAAUUCCACUUUGCAGCUGUUGCACUUGGCAGCAGGUGUUUUACAAUUAUCUAUAGGGAACCACAUUUAAUGUUUUUUGUCAAAACAAUCUAUCACCUGCAAUAUUGGGCUUUGUCUAGAAAUCAGCCAAGUUUAACACAACCUAUUUUAGUAACUUUGUGGAGAUGCCCUAUUUUUAGAAAUCUUAUUUGAAAUGAUUUGAUUAUUAUUUACUGAAAUAUGUCAAACAAAUAUAUCAAACAAUUAUGAAUAAUAUAAAGAUCCUAUAAACAUAUUAUGGCUGUUUUUUAUGCAUAAUGUAUAUGUAAAAAAGCUCAGAGGGAAGAAACAUUAGGUCUCAGAAAUAUAAGCAGCUGGAAAUGUAUUAACAUUUAUUAAUUUGAAAUUGCAGUUUGUUUUUGCUAUUUCUAGCUUUUUAUUUUAAAUAGGCUAUGACCAUUUUCUGUAUUUUGAACGUUAGAAACUGUAUUUUUCUUUUCCUUUUAGCAUCCUCUUUUAUGUCUUAAUUCAUUGAGGACAGUGAGUGGCAAAUCCUAGUUUGGGCUACUGCUGUCAUUUGUGGAAACUUGAAAUCUUAAACUCAUGGACUUCCUGAUAAAAUGCCCGUGUCUGUUUGUUAGACACAUUUUAAAAACAUCAUCAUUUCUGUUUUGAUGUCAGUAACAACCCACAUGUGCUUUUGGUGUGCAGCUUUGCCGAACCCACACUAUUGCAUGUUCUUGUUGUAAUUUGAAUGCCUAGACUGUAGGUAUUAUGCCCCUGUAACUGAGUAAACUAUGAUUAAAGCAAAACCAUUGCCAUCACAGUAUGACGUGAGAUAUUUGUUCAUAUUUAUUUUUACUUUGAGUGAAAGAAAUGUUUUCAUGUCCUUGUUGUGCGCGCAUUGGAUAUCAAGUUCAUUUCUUUCUGCCAAGCCGGG
Long non-coding RNA from Esox lucius (northern pike), 2067 nucleotides. The record is from Ensembl. Lineage: Eukaryota; Metazoa; Chordata; Actinopteri; Esociformes; Esocidae.